AGGACGAACGCUGGCGGCGUGCUUAACACAUGCAAGUCGAGCGGAAAGGCCCUUCGGGGUACUCGAGCGGCGAACGGGUGAGUAACACGUGAGCAACCUGCCCUUAGCUUCGGGAUAGCUCCGGGAAACCGGAAUUAAUACCGAAUAUGACUUUGGCUGACAUCAGCAGAAGUGGAAAGUUUUUCGGCUAGGGAUGGACUCGCGGCCUAUCAGCUAGUUGGUGAGGUAACGGCCCACCAAGGCGACGACGGGUAGCCGGCCUGAGAGGGCGACCGGCCACACUGGGACUGAGACACGGCCCAGACUCCUACGGGAGGCAGCAGUGGGGAAUAUUGCGCAAUGGGGCGAAAGCCUGACGCAGCGACGCCGCGUGGGGGAUGAAUGCCUUCGGGUUGUAAACCCCUUUCAGCAGGGACGAAGCGAAAGUGACGGUACCUGCAGAAGAAGCGCCGGCUAACUACGUGCCAGCAGCCGC
RNAcentral lists this ribosomal RNA (475 nucleotides) under uncultured bacterium. RNAcentral's name for it is "SSU rRNA". It matches the Rfam family "Bacterial small subunit ribosomal RNA", at positions 26 to 518 of the family's 1533-position model. The record is from RNAcentral.